This 686-nucleotide long non-coding RNA is filed under the name Mytilus galloprovincialis (Mediterranean mussel). The record is from RNAcentral. Lineage: Eukaryota; Metazoa; Mollusca; Bivalvia; Mytilida; Mytilidae.
AAGUAUAACAUAUAUAUGAAAAAUAGUUACAUUACAGAAUAUGAAUCAAUUGAGAAAAGAAGUCAUUAAUCAAAUGUAAAACAAUAUGCACUUAACAAAUAUAGUUGUUAUCACAAAAUUACCGUGCGUUCACUUUAAGUUGAAUAUGUCACGUCAAAUAAAAACGCAUCACAAGUCCCACUAUCAUACACCAACAAACAGUCGUUUGAUUUUUCAUAAUAAAUUAUUGUCGGGAUUUGCAUUCCAUCUUUCUCAGUAAAUAGUUCCUUAUAAUGUUUACCAUCAGAUGAUACCACAAUCACAUUGUUGGAUUCAUAACAUAAAAUAUAAACAUUACCUUUCCCAUCAGUUGUAACAUGCCGCGGCUUUAUUUUCGUACCAAAAGUACAAUUCCAUCUGUUUGAUCCAUACAAGUUACAGCAGUAUAAGGCAAAGUUGAAGGGAUAAGUUAGGCACAUGCUGUCCGUAUCAGGAGAUAGGCAUUGUACCGAUGAUUUUAAAGGACAAUGAAAAGAUCUGAUUAUUUCCCCUGUCAUAGUCAUUACAUCUAUUGUGUGGUAAUCAAUAACAACAUACAUUAGGCCGUUUUGAUAAGAUAGUUUACAUGAAUAACCACGCGUUACAAUUUUAUUCUUCACUUGAUCUGUACUGAUAUUGAUUAUUUCUACAAAUUUUUGAUCAUAUGA